GGAGUAUUCCCAAACAGCUGCCAAAAUGCCUUUAAUUUCAAGGAAGUUCCCGGUCUUCUCUGGCCUGACGUGGACUGCCGACCUCCACUUUAGUGGAAGGCUCUUCUGCCUUCCCCUCCCCCUCCUCCUGUUUCUGCACCACCUUCAUGCACAGCCUUCACGACUGGCUCCAGUAGCAUCUCGGGCGCCUCCAGCGCCAUUGGUUCCUCCUCCUCCCCUCGCUGUCAAGGAGGGCAGAGACCCCCAUUGGACUUACACUGCCCGCUUCAGAUUUCUCCACCUGUGUCCCAGGUGAAAAUCCUAUUGCCAGAAGGCAGCAAGGCAAGAGGUUGCCACGAACUUGGUACAGAGAAGAGCAGGAUGCAAACCACAACUGGCUGAACAUCCCUGGGGUCGGAGUUGUUUUAUAAG
This is a long non-coding RNA of Felis catus (domestic cat), 411 nucleotides long. RefSeq lists it as uncharacterized. The transcript is spliced from 3 exons. The record is from RefSeq and is a predicted model, not a curated record. Lineage: Eukaryota; Metazoa; Chordata; Mammalia; Carnivora; Felidae.